This 1507-nucleotide long non-coding RNA is filed under the name Pan troglodytes (chimpanzee). Its description in RNAcentral is "long non-coding RNA NONPTRT016744". The record is from RNAcentral. Lineage: Eukaryota; Metazoa; Chordata; Mammalia; Primates; Hominidae.
CAUUUUUUAUUUUGUUUUGUUUUUCCUUUUACUUUAGUUUAUAGAUAAUAAUUAUACCUAUUUAUAGGGUAUAGAGCAAUAUUUUGAUACACAUCUAUGGUAAUUUUAUGACAAAUGGAUGACAUGAAUGAUCUUUCCAUAUGUGAGAAACGAAUCUAUUUUCAGGUUUGUGACAUCAUCUCGGUGUGUUUUGCAUAUUUUUUUCUAUUACUUUAGAAUUUGAUAAGUUUUAAAUUGUUUUCUCUUUCUUUCUUUUCUUUCUUUCUUUCUUCUUUUUUUAAAAAAGGGUCUUGCUCUGUUGCCCAGGCUGGAGUGCAGUGCCCUGAUCAUCAUUCACUAUGGCCUUGACCUCCCAGGCUCAAGUGAUCCUCCUACUUCAGCCUCACCAGUAGCUAGGGCUACAGGCAAGGAGUCACUAUGCCUGGCUAAUUUUUGUAUUUUUUGUAGAUACAGGGGUUUGCCGUAUUAGCCCAGGCUGGUCUUGAACUCCUGGGCUCAAGCCAUCUGCCUGCCUCAGCCUCCCAAAGUGCUAGGAUCGUAGGCGUGAGCCAUGCCACACAGCCUAGAAUUUGAUAAGUUUUCUAUUGGGACAAUUUCACUUGGCUCUAUUUGUGGAGUCAAAGGGUCACUUGAUUUCAUUCACUUUGCAAAUUAUGAUGUGUAUCAGUGUCUACUGACGAUAAGUGCAUAGAGCAAAGAUCUCAAAAAUUAAUAUUUAAAUAAAAAACUUUGAAUAUUUUACAUAAAUUACAUUUUUUUCCUGCCAUAUUAUUUGGUAUUCCAUGACUACUACUAUUUGUUCAAAGUACUUCUUAGCAGGAUACUCAUUUGUGGAAUGAAAACUAGGGUCAGAAACUGUGGGAGCUGCUGCCUUGGGAGAUAUUAGGCAUAAAUUGAAUGUUUCCAGCUAAAAUUAUAUGUCAUUGGGUAAAGUAAAUAAUUUAAAAAUUGAUUAGUAUUUCAUAAAAGGCAAGGUCACAGGCUGUGAAAAUAUGAAAAAGUAUGUUGAAUAGAUAAUGAUGAGAAAAAUGUGAAGACAGUUAUAUUUAAAUGCAAAGAUCCAUGGAAGAAAUCAGCUGCUUGAUAACUUACUAGAAGAAUGUAUUAUUGCCACUGUACUCCAAACCACUAAUGAGAAAUGUUUUUUAAGAUUUAAGAUUGUAUAAAUGCUUUGUACCUAGAACUGAUGGAAGUAAUUGGUAAACUACUUAAUCAAGUCCCACUUGGAUUACCCAGGUAUUCUCAUACCUUGAUGAACUUGUUUUUUUUUGUUUGUUUUUGUUUUUUUUUUCUGAGAUAACUAGUUAACUGUAUAAGAAGACUUAAUUUUCUUUGCAUAUAUCUGUUGGAAAACAGUUCCUCUUAGGAGUGGGCUUAUAAAGCUGGCGUGCUGCUUUCCAUCUAGAUUUACACAUUAUUUUAAAUGUAUCUGCACGGAAUUAAUUCACUUUUCAGGUGGUAGGCUGGGCUGCGUCUUAUAAGAAAAAUUCAUUUGAGCAUCUGUGUA